Non-coding RNA from Lactuca sativa (garden lettuce), 3871 nucleotides. The record is from RefSeq and is a predicted model, not a curated record. NCBI's taxonomy places the organism in Eukaryota, Viridiplantae, Streptophyta, Magnoliopsida, Asterales, Asteraceae.
UACAACUUCAAACACUUCCCAUCAAGUUAGUAGUAAACCCUUGGAAGCAAGAUUAGGGAAGAGUUCUCGAAAGAGAAGGAGUUCUAGCGCCCAAAAUAUGAAUAAUGAUUAUUCGGCAGCCGAAUCAAAAUCUUGACCGUCUAAUUACUGUUCGUCUAGCAGGACUUAAGGUGAUUCGAUAGUGGUUAAAAGUUAGUACAUGAUAUAGUAUUAUAUUUCUUUAAAUUUUAUUGAUGCAAAUUAGGAUAUUGCUAAAAUACGUAUACUAGUAUUAAUUAAUAAACGGUGAAAUGAUGAAUAUGAUGUUGAAAUGAUAUGCUAAUACAUGACAUGAUAGUAAAAGGUUAUGUUUGAUAUUUGAUAUGUUGAAAUAUGGUGAAAUAAUGAAUAUGAUGUGAAAAUGAUAUGCUAAUACAUGAUAUAAUAUUAAAUUAAUAUGUCAAAAUUUGAUAUGGUUAUAUGUUGAAAUAUGUUUGUGGGUUAUAACGAUGAGUAUGGGUAGUAAUCUGUAAGUUGAAUUAGUUGAAAGAGCUUAAGCCAUAUCGGUUGCAAGUUGCAUAGUCCUUCUAGAUGACUUUGCAACACAUGGUUUAAGUACACACAUAUGUACACAAAUUGGAGUGAUGUUGGCUUUAUGUUGUGGCUAGAUCAAACAAUGUGUAGGAUUUGGGAGGUGUGUCCUUAGGAUUGACAUUGUUGAACCAAUCCUGAACGACGUCGCAAGUUAUAAUACUUUGCAAGUCGGAGUAGCGAAAGUGGAAGUCUUGGAGUUAAUAAUUCAGGUAGGAGUCAUGACUUACUUAGAACAUGAGUCAUGACUUACUUAGAACAUUUACUGGCCAAACACAUGAGUAGUGAAAAGGGUAGAGCCUUGGGUUAAAAUAUUGUUAAGAAACCCAAAUUUAAUAAUCGUUUGAAAUAGUCAAAAUGAUAGUUAAAUGAUGAUUAUGUGUAUUGAUUGGAUGAUAAUGAUAAAUAGUUAAAAUCAUAAUAAUUUGAAUGAAUGAUCCUAGAAGAAAUUGCAUAUUUUGUUAUGUACAACUUUAUCGGCUCAUGAAGCAUAUGCUAACACUUAUUCUUUUGCUAUGUGCCUUAUGAUUGAUGCUGGUAGCUUAGAAGUUUGGCUUGGUGAGGUUGUGAAACUAUAUGGGUAGUUUCAUUUGAAUAAAUAUACCAUAUGAACAUGUUUGAUUUAAUUAUUUAAUAUUAUGAAUCGAUUGGUAAUGUUGUGGUUUAUUUAGAAAUGUUUUUAAAACAUAAAAAGUCUUCUGCUAUAUUUAUGAUUAAAAUGGUUUUAAAGUUGCGAAAUUUUUUAAAAAAAAAUCACGACGUUACAAUAUCACUAAGAGUCAUGAAUUGCCAUUUCAUCAAAAUACUCUCAUAGUCUGGUCAUGAGUUUCCGCCCUCUUGAAUUACUAAUGUAUGGUGCACUAAACAAACAUCAUCUUAUGGUUACAUGUAUUAUGUGAUCAUUGUGGAUUACUCCUCCUAAUACAUGGUUAUAUCCUUUAAAACGCAAAUAAGAUAAUUCCAUUAUAUUUUCCAUAUUGUAAUGUUAUUUGAGAAGCAAUUUAACUAGAAAAUCAUAUCAUUAUUUUUUUACAAUGGUGGUGAAUUUCUCAAAUUGAUUAUGCACCUCAACUUAGAAUGUAUCUCUCACCUAACCUCCCUACCUCACACAUCCAAGCAUAAUGGGACAGUUGAGCGACAUCAUUGACAUGUUGAAAAUGGUCUUUCAUUGGUACAUAAUGCCUCUAUAUCUCUAUAUUGUUGGCCUCGUGCCUUUCAAAACUUUGUUUAUUUAAUUAAUCGUCUACCCACCCCAUUACUAAAACAUCUCUCUCAAUACUCGAUUAUAUUUAAUCAAGAACCCAACUAUCAAAAACUUUGUCCCUUUGGGGUAUUUAUGAUUUUCAUGUUUACGUCCUUAUACAUAUCAUAAAUUACAACCUUGAUAAACUUCAUGCAUUUUUAUUAGUUAUUCGUGUAACGACCAGAAAAACGUUACUUCCUCAGUGAGAGGCUAAAGGAAAAUGGAAUUUACAAAUGUAGGAAAUGAAGAACCAACAAGUACAUUACCAUUAAGCAUAAGUCAACAAAAGUAAACCAACACACAAAUAUGGUGUGUGAGCUUGGCCACGACGCAUGGAUUAAAGGGGUGCAGGACGUUGGGCUUCGUCUGGGUUGCAAGGCAUGUGGCAAACACUUAGGACACAUGGCCAGGAAGGCGACAUGUAGUGCGACGUAGGGCUGACACAUAACAAGGACGCAACACAUCCUUAUGGAGGGCAUGACGCGUAGGCAUAUUUCCAACACUAUAAAUAGUUGGCACCCGUCUUUCAUUGCAUGUUUUCCCGAAGAUUGCUCGGAGGGCUAAGCAAUGAUGUGUAGUUUACGGAAGUGAGUGCUAACGCCGAUACAUGAGUAAUUGAUUACGAAGCAAGAUAAGGUGAGUGCAAGGAAGUGGAUCGUGGAUAUUAUGUAGGCCUCGUGACGAGCUAAAGGUUAUUAAAAGGAAUGUCCAAGAUUAUUAACUAUUGGUAAUAUUUCCAAUAAUAACAUGGUCAUUUUGGGUUGUCCUCAUGACCCAUUUGAGAAAUAAAGAAUUAGGAGAAAAUAAGCUUAUUAAUUUAUUAUGAACUAAUAAAUUAAUUGUAAAUUAUUUUGUAUUUAAUUAAAUAGUUUUAAUUAAUUAAAAAUGUUGAAUAUUAAUUAAUUAAUUGUUAAUUAAUUGGAAUUAUCUAGAAUCCUCCAAGAAGUGAUAGGGGUGAAAUUCUUAAAAGAUAAGGGUUAUCCUUAGGUUUUGGAAUAAUUUGAUGAUUAAUUAAUUGAUUGAAAUUUAUAUUGUAAUUAAUUAAAUAGUUUUGAUUAAUUAAAAGUGUUUAAUAUUAAUUAAUUAAUUAAUUGAAAUGUUCCAGAAUCCUCCAGGAAGUGAUAUGAUAGGGGAUGAAAAUCGUAAAGGAGAAGGGUUAUCCUUAGGUUUUUGAAUGACUUAAGGAUUGAGAAAUAUGCUAUAAAAAGGAUUCUAAGGAUCAAACCCUAAUACUCCUUGACUCUCUUGAAAUCGUCCCCUUGAUCUCUCUCUUUUCUCUUUGGACAAAAAUUAUAACCUUCCUAGGGUUAUAGAAUUUUCAAAAAAAAUUCAUUCCUCCUCCUAGGGUUUUCCUAUUUUCUCUUUUGGUGUCUUAGGUGCGAAGAAAAAGAUGGAUUUCUACUAUUGAGUUCUCUCAUCCAAGCAAAGUGGUUGUUACGAGAUCCCAAUCUAGGAAUCAACAAGAAGAUCAAGAUCAAGAGAUGUCGAACCCGAAGAACAACAACAACAACCUUCCUCCUCCUCCUCCACAACCAUCACCACCACCUCACUCGAACUUCUCACUUUUGUCGGUUCUUUCUAGGGAGAAACUCACUGGACCAACUACAUACAUUAGAUCCGCACCUUAAGGAUCACCUUGAGGUAUGAGAACAAAGAGUUUGUUCUCGAUGGUGAACUCCCUAAAAUCACUAAAGAAUUUACUGACGAAUAAAUUGUUGCUUACAAUAAACACUACGAUGAGUCGACUAAGGUUGCUUGCCUUAUGUUGACAACCAUGUCCUCUGAGCUCCAAAAUGGCUUUGAGAACUAGGGUGCAUGCAUCAUAAAUUAUCAACUCAAGGAUAUGUUUCAAGAGCAAGCUAGGUUAGAACGAUUUGAGAUCGUUAAGUCCCUAAUGUCGUGUAAAUGUCAAGAGGGAGAUUUUAUAUGUAUGCACGUUCAGAAAAUGAAUUCGUACAUAAACAGACCGGAUCUCUCACCCCUUAGCUAAAUGGAGUAAAAUUACCUUCUACCAAAGUAUAUUGUUAUUUUUGAGCACCUCAAAGAUAUAUUCCUUCA